UACGGAGGUGGCAAGCGUUACUCGGAUUCAUUGGGUGUAAAGGGUAUGUAGGCGGGCUAGUAAGUCAUGUGUGAAAUCCCUUGGCUUAACCAAGGAAUUGCGCCUGAAACUGCUAGUCUUGAGUUCGGAAGAGGAGAGUGGAAUUCCCGGUGUAAGGGUGAAAUCUGUAGAGAUCGGGAGGAACACCAGUGGCGAAGGCGGCUCUCUGGUCCGAAACUGACGCUGAGAUACGAAAGCUAGGGGAGCAAACAGGAUUAGAUACCCCCGUA
This 269-nucleotide ribosomal RNA is filed under the name uncultured prokaryote. Its description in RNAcentral is "partial 16S ribosomal RNA". It matches the Rfam family "Bacterial small subunit ribosomal RNA", at positions 524 to 792 of the family's 1533-position model. The record is from RNAcentral.